AAACAUGGAAGUGAGAACACAGUCUGCUGUCAAACUGCUGCAAUCAAGUGCAAAGCAAAUCAUUUUUUAGGGAUCUCAGCAGUUUCUCAUCACCUCCAGACUCCAUGCUGAACAGAGGUGUGUGGCCAAGUUGUCUGCAAACACCAACAGCUGUGUUUGGUGUAGCCAGCAGCCCAAGCACAUGUCGUCUCAGCACUGCCCUCCAGGAUGCAAAACCAGAAGCACAAAGUGUUCUCUUCAAAGCCAGGAUGCAGCUGAGCAUCACUUUCUGUGAAAUUCAUGUACCACGGGAACAAGGCCAUGAUGUGAUGCAGAUUGAUGCUCUAACACUCUCGUUUCUUCUCAUGAAAUAAGUUAUUUUUUUUAUGUCACUAGAAUAAUGAAGAAUAGUUGCAAUUGCA
This is a long non-coding RNA of Pseudopipra pipra, 401 nucleotides long. RefSeq lists it as uncharacterized. The transcript has 3 exons. The record is from RefSeq and is a predicted model, not a curated record. NCBI's taxonomy places the organism in Eukaryota, Metazoa, Chordata, Aves, Passeriformes, Pipridae.